Molecule: long non-coding RNA, 380 nt
Filed under: Trifolium pratense (red clover)
Lineage: Eukaryota; Viridiplantae; Streptophyta; Magnoliopsida; Fabales; Fabaceae
Description: long non-coding RNA (TPRA_LNC005469)
Source: RNAcentral
AUUAUAGUGUCCCUGAAUAAGAUUGGAUGCAAAAUUUGAUGGUUGGAUUUACUAAUUGAAUUGAUGGUAUCAUGUAUUGAAAUGAUGGAUGGUUUGUAAUUGAAUUGACGGUAUCGUGUCUUAUAAUGACACUCAUAUGGAAUUGAAUUGACGGCAUCGUGUCUUAAAAUGGUGGCUCGUAUGAAAUUAAAUUUACGGUUUAUGGAAGCUGGUAUGUAAUUGAAUUGACGGCAUAGUGUUGACACAUAUGAAAUUGAAUUGACGGCAUUAUUUUUGUCUGAUAUUUUGAUUUUAAAUUUCAUAUUUGUGUUUGUAUGAUUUGAAUUUAAUCAAUUGAUGCGAUGAUACUGUGCUUCUCUGACAUUGAAAAUGGAAAAUAG